GCUGACACAUUCCAGCCACUCAGCAGCAGACCCUCCCUCCCAGACCCUCCCACCUCCUGGACAGCAUCCAUUUUGAAUCUGCAUUCUAAGUGAGCUGUCCAGGAGGUGGGAGGGUCUGGGAGGGAGGGUCUGCUGCUGAUUGGCUGGAAUGUGUCAG
Molecule: microRNA precursor, 157 nt
Filed under: Pelobates cultripes (western spadefoot toad)
Lineage: Eukaryota; Metazoa; Chordata; Amphibia; Anura; Pelobatidae
Source: RNAcentral